RNAcentral lists this ribosomal RNA (1378 nucleotides) under metagenome. RNAcentral describes it as "bacterial LSU rRNA". It matches the Rfam family "Bacterial large subunit ribosomal RNA", at positions 1512 to 2910 of the family's 2925-position model. The record is from RNAcentral.
UGAAGAGUGUAGGCGUUGAGGAUGGCAGGCAAAUCCACCGUCCGAGCUGAACUUGAGAGUAUGGAGUCUUCUUCGGAAGAAUCCAAUAGUGUGGGUAAUCAUACUCCCGAGAAAAUCCGCUAAGCUUAACCCAUGCGGCACCCGUACCGCAAACGGACACACGUGGUCGGGUAGAACAUACUGAGGCGUUGAGAGAUUCAUGGUUAAGGAACUAGGCAAAUUGACCCUGUAACUUCGGGAUAAAGGGUCCUCGUGAAUAGCGAGGCGCAGAGAAUAGGUCCAGGCAACUGUUUAACAAAAACACAGGGCUGUGCAAACUCGAAAGAUGACGUAUACAGCCUGACACCUGCCCGGUGCCGGAAGGUUAAGAGGAGAUGUCACUCGCAAGAGGAAGCAUUGAAUUGAAGCCCCGGUAAACGGCGGCCGUAACAAUAACGGUCCUAAGGUAGCGAAAUUCCUUGUCGGGUAAGUUCCGACCUGCACGAAUGGUGUAAUGAUCCGGACGCUGUCUCAACCAUGAGCUCAGUGAAAUUGUAGUAUCGGUGAAGAUGCCGAUUACCCGCGAUGGGACGAAAAGACCCCGUGAACCUUUACUACAGCUUAGCAUUGACCUUGGUCAUCCGAUGUGUAGGAUAGGCCGGAGGCUUCGAAGCGGGAGCGCCAGCUUUCGUGGAGCCAUCCUUGAAAUACGGCCCUUUGGCUGUCUGAGGUCUAACGCGCGAUGCGCGGACACUGCUUGGUGGGUAGUUUGACUGGGGUGGUCGCCUCCAAAAGCGUAACGGAGGCUUCCAAAGGUGCCCUCGGGUCGAUUGGUAACCGACCUCAAAGAGUGCAAUGGCAUAAGGGCGCUUGACUGGGAGGCAGACAUGCCGAGCAGGCAGGAAACUGGGGCAUAGUGAUCCGGCGGAUGUGUAUGGAAGCUCCGUCGCUCAAAGGAUAAAGGGUACUCCGGGGAUAACAGGCUGAUCCCCCCCAAGAGCUCAUAUCGACGGGGUGGUUUGGCACCUCGAUGUCAGCUCGUCACAUCCUGGGGCUGGAGAAGGUCCCAAGGGUUGGGCUGUUCGCCCAUUAAAGUGGCACGCGAGCUGGGUUCAGAACGUCGUGAGACAGUUCGGUCUCUAUCUAUCGUGGGCGUGGGAGUUUUGCGUGGUGCCGUCACUAGUACGAGAGGACCGUGAUGGACAGACCUCCGGUUUGCCAGUUGUGCCGCCAGGCGCACCGCUGGGUAUCUGAGUCUGGAUUGGAUAAGCGCUGAAAGCAUCUAAGUGCGAAGCCAGCCGCAAGAUGAGAACUCCAUUGAGGGUCGUCAGAGACGAUGACGUUGAUAGGAUGCAGGUGUAAAGACAGCGAUGUCAAAGCCGAGCAUUACUAAUUGCCC